AGCUCGUGUCGUGAGAUGUUGGGUUAAGUCCCGCAACGAGCGCAACCUUGCCUUUAGUUGCCAGCAGUUCGGCUGGGCACUCUAAAGGGACUGCCGGUGUUAAACCGGAGGAAGGUGGGGAUGACGUCAAGUCCUCAUGGCCUUUAUGACCAGGGCUACACACGUACUACAAUGGCCGAUACAAAGGGCAGCGACACUGCGAGGUGAAGCCAAUCCCGUAAAAUCGGUCUCAGUCCGGAUUGGAGUCUGCAACUCGACUCCAUGAAGUUGGAAUCGCUAGUAAUCGUGGAUCAGCAUGCCACGGUGAAUACGUUCCCGGGCCUU
Molecule: ribosomal RNA, 324 nt
Filed under: uncultured Desulfobulbus sp.
Lineage: Bacteria; Pseudomonadati; Thermodesulfobacteriota; Desulfobulbia; Desulfobulbales; Desulfobulbaceae
Description: bacterial SSU rRNA
Rfam family: Bacterial small subunit ribosomal RNA
Source: RNAcentral